GACGAACGCUGGCGGCGUGCUUAACACAUGCAAGUCGAACGGAAAGGCCCUGCUUUUGUGGGGUGCUCGAGUGGCGAACGGGUGAGUAACACGUGAGUAACCUGCCCUUGACUUUGGGAUAACUUCAGGAAACUGGGGCUAAUACCGGAUAGGAGCUCCGGCUGCAUGGGGGGGGUUGGAAAGUUUCGGCGGUUGGGGAUGGACUCGCGGCUUAUCAGCUUGUUGGUGGGGUAGUGGCUUACCAAGGCUUUGACGGGUAGCCGGCCUGAGAGGGUGACCGGCCACAUUGGGACUGAGAUACGGCCCAGACUCCUACGGGAGGCAGCAGUGGGGAAUAUUGCACAAUGGGCGGAAGCCUGAUGCAGCAACGCCGCGUGCGGGAUGACGGCCUUCGGGUUGUAAACCGCUUUCGCCUGUGGCGAAGCGUGAGUGACGGUAAUGGGUAAAGAAGCACCGGCUAACUACGUG
Molecule: ribosomal RNA, 468 nt
Filed under: uncultured bacterium
Lineage: Bacteria
Description: partial 16S ribosomal RNA
Rfam family: Bacterial small subunit ribosomal RNA
Source: RNAcentral